UCGGAGGAAGGUGGGGAUGACGUCAAAUCAUCAUGCCCCUUAUGUCUAGGGCUGCAAACAUGCUACAAUGGCCGGUACAAAGGGCUGCGAUACCGCGAGGUGGAGCGAAUCCCAAAAAGCCGGUCUCAGUUCGGAUUGAGGUCUGCAACUCGACCUCAUGAAGUCGG
This 167-nucleotide ribosomal RNA is filed under the name uncultured Actinomycetes bacterium. RNAcentral's name for it is "uncultured actinobacterium partial 16S ribosomal RNA". It matches the Rfam family "Bacterial small subunit ribosomal RNA", at positions 1163 to 1329 of the family's 1533-position model. Lineage: Bacteria; Bacillati; Actinomycetota; Actinomycetes. The record is from RNAcentral.